RNAcentral lists this ribosomal RNA (490 nucleotides) under uncultured bacterium. Its description in RNAcentral is "partial 16S ribosomal RNA". It matches the Rfam family "Bacterial small subunit ribosomal RNA", at positions 30 to 507 of the family's 1533-position model. The record is from RNAcentral.
AUUGAACGCUGGCGGCAGGCCUAACACAUGCAAGUCGAACGGUAACAGGAAGCAGCUUGCUGCUUUGCUGACGAGUGGCGGACGGGUGAGUAAUGUCUGGGAAACUGCCUGAUGGAGGGGGAUAACUACUGGAAACGGUAGCUAAUACCGCAUAACGUCGCAAGACCAAAGAGGGGGACCUUCGGGCCUCUUGCCAUCGGCUGUGCCCAGAUGGGAUUAGCUAGUAGGUGGGGUAACGGCUCACCUAGGCGACGAUCCCUAGCUGGUCUGAGAGGAUGACCAGCCACACUGGAACUGAGACACGGUCCAGACUCCUACGGGAGGCAGCAGUGGGGAAUAUUGCACAAUGGGCGAAAGCCUGAUGCAGCCAUGCCGCGUGUAUGAAGAAGGCCUUCGGGUUGUAAAGUACUUUCAGCGGGGAGGAAGGGAGUAAAGUUAAUACCUUUGCUCAUUGACGUUACCCGCAGAAGAAGCACCGGCUAACUCCGUG